GACGAACGCUGGCGGCGUGCUUAACACAUGCAAGUCGAACGGAAAGGCCCUGCUUUUUCGGGGUGCUCGAGGGGCGAACGGGUGAGUAACACGUGAGUAACCUGCCCUUGACUUUGGGAUAACUUCAGGAAACUGGGGCUAAUACCUGAUAGGAGCUCCUGCUGCAUGGUGGGGGUUGGAAAGUUUCGGCGGUGGGGGAUGUACGCGCGGCUUAUCAGCUUGUUGGUGGGGUAGUGGCUUACCAAGGCAUUGGCGGGUAGCCGGCCUGAGAGGGUGGACGGCCACAUUAGGACUGAGGUACGGCGCAGACUGCAACGGGGGGCAGCAGUGGAGAAUAUUGCACAGUGAGCGGGAGCGUGAUGAGGCAGCGCCCCGUGCGGGAUGACGGCCUUCGGGUUGUAAACCGCUUUCGCCUGUGACGAAGCGUGAGUGACGGUACUGGGUAAAGAAGCACCGGCUAACUACGUG
RNAcentral lists this ribosomal RNA (468 nucleotides) under uncultured bacterium. RNAcentral describes it as "partial 16S ribosomal RNA". It matches the Rfam family "Bacterial small subunit ribosomal RNA", at positions 28 to 507 of the family's 1533-position model. The record is from RNAcentral.